RNAcentral lists this long non-coding RNA (4376 nucleotides) under Canis lupus familiaris (dog). Its description in RNAcentral is "lncRNA (ENSCAFG00000057911.1)". The record is from RNAcentral. Lineage: Eukaryota; Metazoa; Chordata; Mammalia; Carnivora; Canidae.
UUUUUUUCUCCUUAAGAAAGAGAUGAUCCUUGAAAAUGACUCCGUAUUUCUUCCUGCACAUCUUCGUUUUUCUGUCUCUGGAGUCCCGACAGAGUGGCAAAGCACUUUACAGUGGUAACUGAGAAAUCUGGAUUCCUUGCUUCAGCGACCCUUAGUUUGUACAGAUCGGGUGAUGUUUUAUAAUUCCCGGGGAGGCAGUGCAUUUUUAAUGUUUUCUGAAGAUUUUUAGGAGAGGGGCAAGGAGUGCAGUCCUGUUCUGGAAUUCUUUUCUACUUUCUCUUUGUGAAAAUCCAAGUAAUAUUUCAGUUCAAACUUGAUCCUGAGCCCAGGCCCACAGCCACCUCUGGGAUGGGAGCUGGAUCUACAUCCCAAGUGACAAGGUCCUCGCAACAACAUCUGCUUCCCAGAAGGCUGUGAUUCUGCUAUGUCAGAUAACAGGGUCGGGCUCCUGCUCUGUUUUUGGCUUGAAGACUGGGAUCCCAAAGGGACUACAGGCAGGGAAUAUUGAGAUGGCAGCCUGGGUAUUCCAUCUUGAGAUGCUCAAGACCACCAACCUCUCUUCUCCUGCCUGGAAAAGUAAGCCUUUGUGAAGAACUGACUUACUGUGUACAGUUGUGAUUGUGACUGUUGUUAAAUAAACCUCCAGACUUUGUCUAAUGUGUUCUCUGGCUUGUUCUUGUCCCACGCAUUUUCCAUCCCAUCAUUCCCCAUGUAUUCCACAAGUGUCUGCUUAGUACCCAGGAUACUGAACACAUUCCCAACAGCCAUCGUUCUAGAGAAAAAGGCAGACAUCCGACAGCUAACCAAGAUGAUUCUAGAUGUGAACAGGGCUAUGAAGGAUAUUAAAAAAAAAAAAUGUUUGAGAGACUGGAGCAGGGGGUGAACAUUAGGUAGGCCAGUCCGAGAGUGCCUCUCUGUGAGAGCUGGAAGACGUGAGGGAGUGUAAGCCAAGAGGCAGUUUGGGAGAGAGAGUUCCAGGCAAAGGGAACCGCUAGUGCAAAGGCCCUGAGGCAGGAAGUAGUUGCCAUGUUGGAGGCACAGAAGGAGGUGAGCGCCCACGGUUAGAUAGGGUGGCCCACAAAGGGUCCUGAAGACUACACCCAGGAAUGGAAAAUAUCUGCAGGGCAGAACAACAUGAAAUAAUUCAUUUCUGAAACUCACCCAUCAGCCACACGUUUCUAUCAACCAAAACAUUGGGAGGCUUUGUAUAUUAGAUACGUGUCAUAUUAUGCGGUAGAAAGAGCACUGGCUGGCCUGGCUCUGCAACGGACUAUGAGGUCUUGGGAAAAUUUGCCCCCUAACUAGGCCUCAGUUUUCUGCCGUAAAAUGGGAAGUUUUUAGAUGAUGCUUCCAGCUCCACCUGUGGUUCUGUGGUUGAGACUUGGUGUGGGACUGCCCGUGACCGUGAGCGGAAGCUGCCUACUGGCGCUGUCACUCAGAGCCCACCAGAGGCCGCUGUGGACCAUGGCUUGGAGAAGGCUGAUGAACAGAAGGGGGGAAUCCGUUCACCCACCACAGUGGCAGGUUUUGAGCACUGGAACCAGGUGGAUAUUAAGUUAAUUUUCUUCUAUAAUCUUAAUGGCUUCUCUAAAAAGGAUUAAAUUAUUUUACUAGGAAAAAAAGGAAGCAAGGGAUAAACGAUCGAUGUGUAGGGGCAGCAUGUGCAAAGACCCUGUGCAGGGGAAGCAUGACAGGUAUGAAGGUCAGUGGGAUGGGAGCAGAAUGAGAGAGAAAGAAGAGAAAAGGAGGGGGUGAGCAGAAGCCAGAAUCUGCAGGGCCUUGUGGGCCGUGUUAAGGAGUCUGAGCUUUAUUUUUAAAGCAGUGGGAACCAUUAGAGGGUUUUUAACUGGGCAUAGUGAGAGCAUCAGAUGUGCCUUUGGCCAAUGUUUAUAGCCAGGAAUGACUUGCUCAAGGUGCUGGGCACACAGUAGACACCUAGGGCAUACAGAAUGAAAGAUUCAGGGCAGCCAGCCCUCCGAUGCCUUCUCAAAAUCACGAUCACUGGGAGGAAAGGUCCUUCUUCCCUGGAGCAGGUGGGAAGACAGGGGAAAGUUACAUUUCUCAUCCAUUUUAGCUCCUUGUUCUCCCAAGCCCACAAGAGUAGAAUCCAAGGUAUCUGAAGUACCUAGAUGGACAAAGAGUGUGCACUCUGGCGGUGGCGGUGGGGCACAUUCAUUCACAAACUGAUUCGGAGAACUUGGCAAUUGGUCCAAAGUUUUGGAUUCUCUUUUUCUCUAUAUUUAGUUGAGAUUGGGGCUUUGGGGCUCCUGGCACUGAGUAAAGAGGCACAAGAAGCAUUUGAAGAAGAGACAAAUGGGUGAAUAAUAUAGUCUCAGCUUAUACUUUAGGCUUUUUUUCCAUCCACUCACAGCCCAUAGAAUUUUUGAGAGAGAGUGCUCCUACCUCUGUGAUAUGCUAUUUACUCUUGAGAAAGUCCCUUCCUCUCCCCAGGCUUCAGAUUGUCCAUGUGAGGAUGGGAAGAACAGGAGCAAAUUAGAUAAUCAUCAGCCUGGACUGGGAUAGUUCUACACAUCUUGCAUCUGGUAUUUUGCAGUGGCCCUGAUCUUGUCAAGGCCAUUUGACAAGAGCUUGUCAUUAUUUUCCAAGCUCAGCUAGGGGAUGGUGGUGAGACCCCCCUAUCAGUUCUGUUGUUGGUGUCUCCCACCCUACGGUUUCUGGGCUAUUGCUGAAGUGGGUCCAGGAUUCAGUAUCCAGAGCUUCCUUCCUGCAGCUGCUCACAGCUCUGUCAACCUCUGGCCGCAGGCAGCUGUCUCUUCUUUGUUCACCCUCAAUGCCUGGGCUGCCACUGCCUGGCUUGGCAAUACCUGGCAUCCCUGGUGGUGUCCCAGGGCAGCCUAUAGUUCCUGCCUUCUGGUCUGACUGCUUCAGGGCUGGCAGGGUGACGGGCCCUGGUGUGCUCACGCACACUCACAGACACAAUGCCAUAGAAACAAAGAAAAACCUGGUGAACCCUCAGAAAAGCAGGUUUCUUAGCAACUUCGUAGCUUUUGUUCAUGAGCCGCUUGGAAUUGAAGUAGCAUCUGAUCUCCUGCCAGCUCCUAACCGGGCAUGGGAAGAAGGGGAUGAUGGGCCUGCCUUUGCUGGAGCUCUGUGCUAAGCUCCCCCACCCUUGGCCUCUCAGCCUGGGAAGCUGAGGCCUGAAUCCUGGCGUUAUCCACAUUCUGAGAAAAGUCCUUGCUACAGUUUCUUCCCAGCUACAGCUGCAGGAUCCCAGGGCUUGGUCAUUCAGACAACAAAUGCAUACCAAAUAUAUCCUGUGGGCCCAUGGCGGUCCAUGCUCUGUGCCCCCAGCAGUUGGCACCAGUUCUGUCCUCAGCCCUGGAAAUACAGAGGUGAAUAAGGAAAAGCCUCUUUAGCCAAAUGAUGAGAACAAACAAGGACCCAGAGAUGCCUGAGUACUUGUAACUUUACCCCAGGCCUCUCGUAUAAAACCAAAACUUCUUAGCCAAGUCCUAAGGAUCCUUCCAGGCUGGCCCCUGCCUGCUUCUCCAUCACUUCCCCAACAGGGCUCAGGUGCCCACAGGUCAAGUCGUUCUCACCUCCAGACCCCUGCUGGUCACUCCACUUGGAGUGUUCUCCAUCCACCUGGCAGCUUCUUUCCAUCCUUUAGGUCCUCGCUUAGCUGUCCCCUCCCUGAGGAAGCCCACUCUCAAGAGACCUCCCACACACAUCACUCUCUGUCAAGCUGAGUUCCUUUGUAGCCUCCUUCCUGACACUUGAUAUACAGUCCAUUCCCCUUGUUCACAGUAGUUAAGUUCUAUCGAGUCAUCUCGAACACUGAAUUAGCAAAUACUGAACCACACCCCUAAGGCAAGUAGAGGGGUAUGCUCCUGCAAGCUUCUGCUCACAACAUUUUCAUCAGGCGAUCAAUCAUAACCUGUUUUAUGUGCAUCUCUGUUUAAAGAUACCUUAUUUAAUAUAGGUCGUUAAUUUGUCAAAUUAGAACUCAGAGCCAACACUAUAACUAAUGCCUCAAUGAAACUUACCUAAUGAAUAUAUGUUCUCCGUCUUAGAGCUUAGGAACUCUAUAUAACACCUCCGCACCAUCCUUGGGGGAUAUUUUCAACCACAAUCACCAACAUAAAGUACAAAAAUAUGUAAAACCUGACACUACAUAGCCCGCGGAAAGACUGCUUGUUUAAAGCAUGAGCGCUCAAUCGACCUCAUCUGGGAACAUGCUUGUUGGGUGACAAAUUUUUCAGCGCUUUACACAUGUACGUGUCUGCGGGUGACCUCAAAGGUGUUGCAAGUAUUGGUUUCAAGAGUACAAAUAUAUCUUGGUGAGUAGGCAUAUUUGCAAAUACAAAGUCAAUAUAAUAAUGAAGAGUAUUUUAAUUAUUCUAUUCAUUUGUUUA